RNAcentral lists this ribosomal RNA (324 nucleotides) under uncultured bacterium. RNAcentral describes it as "bacterial SSU rRNA". It matches the Rfam family "Bacterial small subunit ribosomal RNA", at positions 28 to 334 of the family's 1533-position model. The record is from RNAcentral.
GAUGAACGCUGGCGGCGUGCUUAACACAUGCAAGUCGAACGAGAACCAUUGGAUCGAGGAUUCGUCCAAGUGAAGGUGGGGAAAGUGGCGGACGGGUGAGUAACGCGUGAGCAAUCUGCCUUGGAGUGGGGAAUAACGGCUGGAAACAGCCGCUAAUACCGCAUGAUACAGCUGGGAGGCAUCUCCCUGGCUGUCAAAGAUUUAUCGCUCUGAGAUGAGCUCGCGUCUGAUUAGCUAGUUGGCGGGGUAACGGCCCACCAAGGCGACGAUCAGUAGCCGGACUGAGAGGUUGGCCGGCCACAUUGGGACUGAGACACGGCCCAG